AGUGAACGCUGGCGGUAGGCCUAACACAUGCAAGUCGAACGGCAGCACAGUAAGAGCUUGCUCUUACGGGUGGCGAGUGGCGGACGAGUGAGGAAUACAUCGGAAUCUACUUUUUCGUGGGGGAUAACGUAGGGAAACUUACGCUAAUACCGCAUACGACCUACGGGUGAAAGCAGGGGAUCUUCGGACCUUGCACGAUUGAAUGAGCCGAUGUCGGAUUAGCUAGUUGGCGGGGUAAAGGCCCACCAAGGCGACGAUCCGUAGCUGGUCUGAGAGGAUGAUCAGCCAAACUGGAACUGAGACACGGUCCAGACUCCUACGGGAGGCAGCAGUGGGGAAUAUUGGACAAUGGGCGCAAGCCUGAUCCAGCCAUACCGCGUGGGUGAAGAAGGCCUUCGGGUUGUAAAGCCCUUUUGUUGGGAAAGAAAAGCAGCAGGUUAAUACCCCGCUGUUCUGACGGUACCCAAAGAAUAAGCACCGGCUAACUUCGU
Molecule: ribosomal RNA, 491 nt
Filed under: uncultured bacterium
Lineage: Bacteria
Description: partial 16S ribosomal RNA
Rfam family: Bacterial small subunit ribosomal RNA
Source: RNAcentral